GAGACUGGUUGGGUAACACCUUCCAAACCUCCCACCCUUUGUUUACAUUACCUUUGUUGCUUUGGCAGGCCCGUCUUUGGACCGCCGGCUUCGGCUGGCCAGCGCUUGCCAGAGGACCUAAAACUCUGUUUAAUCGUAUUGUCUGAGUACUAUAUAAUAGUUAAAACUUUCAACAACGGAUCUCUUGGUUCU
This 192-nucleotide unclassified non-coding RNA is filed under the name rhizosphere metagenome. Its description in RNAcentral is "partial ribosomal RNA internal transcribed spacer region". The record is from RNAcentral.